GGGCACGUAGCUCAGUCCGGAUAGAGCGUCGGACUUCUAAUCCGACGGUCGCUGGGUCGAAUCCGACCUGCCCG
Molecule: transfer RNA, 74 nt
Filed under: Halogeometricum sp. wsp3
Lineage: Archaea; Methanobacteriati; Methanobacteriota; Halobacteria; Halobacteriales; Haloferacaceae
Description: tRNA-Arg
Rfam family: tRNA
About the family: Transfer RNA (tRNA) molecules are approximately 80 nucleotides in length. Their secondary structure includes four short double-helical elements and three loops (D, anti-codon, and T loops). Further hydrogen bonds mediate the characteristic L-shaped molecular structure. tRNAs have two regions of fundamental functional importance: the anti-codon, which is responsible for specific mRNA codon recognition, and the 3' end, to which the tRNAs corresponding amino acid is attached (by aminoacyl-tRNA synthetases). tRNAs cope with the degeneracy of the genetic code in two manners: having more than one tRNA (with a specific anti-codon) for a particular amino acid; and 'wobble' base-pairing, i.e. permitting non-standard base-pairing at the 3rd anti-codon position.
Source: RNAcentral